CAGGGAGUGGCGGGGCCUCUUACCAAGGAAGUCCUGGCAGCCUGCCUGGCAUGUCUGGGCUCCAGGCACUGCUGGAGUCUGCGUCCAGUGACCACACAUUGGACUAGUGGUGUAUGAAGAACUGUCCAGCCCAACCAGCCAGGUCAUGGCAGGGAGACUCACCUGGGUAGAGAGAGACCUGACAGAUGACAGGAUGUAGGCGUCAGCUACUGCUCCAGCUCAAGCACACCAUCAUGCUUCUCAUCAUGAAGAUACUUGGACUGAGCCUCUGAAACUAGGACCCCGAUUUGGUUCCCAACACCCACACCAGACGCUCACAAAUGCCA
Long non-coding RNA from Mastomys coucha (southern multimammate mouse), 326 nucleotides. RefSeq lists it as uncharacterized. The record is from RefSeq and is a predicted model, not a curated record. The transcript has 3 exons. NCBI's taxonomy places the organism in Eukaryota, Metazoa, Chordata, Mammalia, Rodentia, Muridae.